UACGUAGGGUGCGAGCGUUAAUCGGAAUUACUGGGCGUAAAGCGUGCGCAGGCGGAUUGUUAAGCAAGAUGUGAAAUCCCCGGGCUUAACCUGGGAAUGGCAUUUUGAACUGGCAGUCUAGAGUGUGUCAGAGGGGGGUGGAAUUCCACGUGUAGCAGUGAAAUGCGUAGAUAUGUGGAGGAACACCAAUGGCGAAGGCAGCCCCCUGGGAUAACACUGACGCUCAUGUACGAAAGCGUGGGUAGCAAACAGG
This 253-nucleotide ribosomal RNA is filed under the name uncultured bacterium. RNAcentral describes it as "partial 16S ribosomal RNA". It matches the Rfam family "Bacterial small subunit ribosomal RNA", at positions 524 to 776 of the family's 1533-position model. The record is from RNAcentral. RNAcentral also lists the same sequence under 1 other name.